AUGUCAAGUGGGACCUCGUUCGCGUCGAGCCAAGGGACCCGGAGCUCUAGGUCCGCUGAGGAUUGCCCGGACCUCCGGGCCCAGAUGGAGAAGAGGAGGAAGAGGAGGAAGGAGUCCAACCGGGAGUCGGCACGCCGAUCUAGGGCGAAGCAACAACACCUCGACGACCUCUCCUCGCAGGUGGAUCAGCUGAAGAACCAGAGCCAGCAACUGAGCAUGGUGCUGGGCAUGACCACCCAAAACCUUGUGGCACUGCAAGCACAGAACUCGGUGAUGCAGACACAGAAGAUGGAGCUGGAGAGCAGGCUGUGCGCCCUGGGCGAGAUCAUCUGCUGCAUGAACUCAAUCACCAACGCCGCGAACCCCGCCGCCGCCAUGGGCGCCACGGCAAGCGGUGCCUACGACAUUUUUGGCGCCGGCAGCACAUGGAGCCAGCCCAUAGACUUGUACCAGUGCUUCUAG
This 462-nucleotide ribosomal RNA is filed under the name Triticum aestivum (bread wheat). Its description in RNAcentral is "partial small subunit ribosomal RNA". Lineage: Eukaryota; Viridiplantae; Streptophyta; Magnoliopsida; Poales; Poaceae. The record is from RNAcentral.